AAACAAGAGUUGUGGGCUUUGCCACUGUCUCUUACCCAUGUCUUUUGAGUACUUACGUUUCCUCGGUGGGCUCGCCCGCCGGUUGGACAAUUUAAACCAUUUGCAGUUGCAAUCAGCGUCUGAAAAACAUAAUAGUUACAACUUUCAACAACGGAUCUCUUGGUUCUGGCAUCGAUGAAGAACGCAGCGAAAUGCGAUAAGUAGUGUGAAUUGCAGAAUUCAGUGAAUCAUCGAAUCUUUGAACGCACAUUGCGCCCCUUGGUAUUCCAUGGGGCAUGCCUGUUCGAGCGUCAUUUGUACCUUCAAGCUCUGCUUGGUGUUGGGUGUUUGUCUCGCCUUGCGCGUAGACUCGCCUUAAAACAAUUGGCAGCCGGCGUAUUGAUUUCGGAGCGCAGUACAUCUCGCGCUUUGCACUCAUAACGACGACGUCCAAAAGUACUUUUUACACUCUUGACCUCGGAUCAGGUAGGGAUACCCGCUGAACUUAAGCAUAUCAAUAAGCGGAGGAGGAU
Molecule: ribosomal RNA, 512 nt
Filed under: Phoma herbarum
Lineage: Eukaryota; Fungi; Ascomycota; Dothideomycetes; Pleosporales; Didymellaceae
Description: eukaryotic LSU rRNA
Rfam family: 5.8S ribosomal RNA (bases 140-293)
Source: RNAcentral